Molecule: ribosomal RNA, 480 nt
Filed under: Triticum aestivum (bread wheat)
Lineage: Eukaryota; Viridiplantae; Streptophyta; Magnoliopsida; Poales; Poaceae
Description: partial small subunit ribosomal RNA
Source: RNAcentral
CUAGCUUUCGGUCAGCAUUCUAGUGGCUCCCAGUUCUGGCAGGCGGUGAUUCAGCUAUUACCCGUGCUCUGCAUCGGCACGUCCAUCUCGGUUGGCUCCAGGUCCUCGACCCUGUUCUUGUUCGAUCGCUGGUUAGGGGACUCCCCCCUGGCCGCUCGAUUCUCGGAUCUAUUCGCCACAGCGGUCGACCCUCGGGUCUCUGUCGAGACGGCCCUUAUUGACUUAGGGUGUCUUGCUUUCCGGUGCCCCUUUGGUCCCCUUGAGGUUGCCGCUUGGGACCCCCUCGUCUAGGACAUCGCUCUUCUUCUGAUGGACGUCGAGGGUGCCCCUGACUCCAUCUCUUGGCGACUGGAGCCAUCCGGCCGCUUCUACACUAAGUCCUUAUACACGGCCAUCGCACCCUCGUCGGCCCCUGAGCCCUUUAGCCUGAUCUAGGACAUUCGCCUUCCUCUGAAGAUCAGGAUCUUCCUGUGGCAGUGA